UAGCGUAUAUUAAAGUUGUUGCAGUUAGAACGCUCGUAGUCGGAUUUCGGGGCGGGACGACCGGUCUGCCGAUGGGUAUGCACUGGUGGUCGCGUCCUUCCUUCCGGAGACCGUGCCUACUCUUAACUGAGCGGGUGCGGGAGACGGAUCGUUUACUUUGAAAAAAUCAGAGUGUUUCAAGCAGGCAGCUCGCUCUUGCAUGGAUUAGCAUGGGAUAAUGAAAUAGGACUUUGGUGCUAUUUUGUUGGUUUCGAACACCGAAGUAAUGAUUAACAGGGACAGUCAGGGGCACUCGUAUUCCGCCGAGAGAGGUGAAAUUCUCAGACCAGCGGAAGACGAACUACUGCGAAAGCAUUUG
Molecule: ribosomal RNA, 358 nt
Filed under: Haptophyta environmental samples
Lineage: Eukaryota; Haptophyta
Description: SSU rRNA
Rfam family: Eukaryotic small subunit ribosomal RNA
Source: RNAcentral